This 3150-nucleotide ribosomal RNA is filed under the name Triticum aestivum (bread wheat). Its description in RNAcentral is "partial small subunit ribosomal RNA". Lineage: Eukaryota; Viridiplantae; Streptophyta; Magnoliopsida; Poales; Poaceae. The record is from RNAcentral.
AUGGGCAUGACCAUGGGGAUAAUGAGCUUCAUAUGGUCACUGGUAGUCGCUCUGAUGACCGCCACAGUGAGCGCUGGUGACGAGGCCGCGCUGCUUGCUUUCAAAGCGCAGGUCAGUGAUGCCGGCUCGCUGGCCUCCUGGAACAGCAGCGCCGGCUUCUGCAGCUGGGAAGGGGUGAUGUGCAGCCGCUGGAGGCCCUCAAGGGUGGUGGAGCUGAGCUUGGAUGGCAGGGGGCUCGCCGGAGCACUCUCCCCAGCCCUCGGGAACCUCUCGUUCCUGCGGACGCUCAACCUGAGCUUCAACCGGCUCCACGGGGAGAUUCCAGCGAGCCUCGGCCGCCUCCGCCGUCUGCUGAAGCUUGACUUGAGCGACAACUCCUUCUCUGGAAAAAUCCCUGUAAACCUGAGCUCCUGCAUCAGCAUGACCAAGCUGAGACUGCGCAACAACCAACUUGGCGGGCGCAUCCCGGCUGAGCUCGGCGAGAAGCUCACAUCCCUGGCAGUGAUCUCGCUGAGAAACAACAGCUUCACAGGGCUCAUCCCGCCGUCACUUGGCAAUCUGUCCCAUCUACAAUACCUCGAUCUCACCACUAACCAGCUCGUGGGCUCAAUCCCAUCAAGCCUCGGAAGCAACCACAACAUGCAGCAAUUCGGCAUCUCUAGAAACAACAUCUCCGGUAUGCUUCCACCUUCCCUAUACAACUGGUCAUCGCUGGAAGUAUUUUCGGUAGCAUUGAAUAUGUUGUACGGAAGCAUUCCAGAUGAUAUCGGAAGCAAGUUCGCCAAGCUGGAACAUCUGGGCUUAGGUGGUAAUCACUUCACAGGAACCAUCCCUUCCUCAAUAUCCAACAUAUCUUCCCUCGUAUUCCUUAACCUCGUGCAGAAUGGAUUUAGUGGGUAUGUGCCUCCCACAUUGGGGAAGCUGGGAGCUCUCCAACAUCUAAACUUGGGUGCAAAUAACCUCGAAGCAAAUGACAACAAGGGGUGGGAAUUCAUCACUUCUUUAGCAAACUGCAGCCAACUGCAGCUAUUGGUACUCGCCAGCAAUUAUUUUGGCGGACAACUACCAGGUUCAAUUGUGAACCUCUCAACGACUCUUGAGGGGUUAUACUUGAUGCAUAAUAGGAUCUUUGGGAGUAUCCCUGUAGACAUUGGCAAUUUGGUUGGUCUGCAAAUACUUGUCAUAGCAAAUACUUCCAUAGACGGAGUGAUUCCAGAGAGCAUUGGCAAGCUAGGGAACUUGAUCGAGCUAGGCUUGUACAACAAUAGCCUCUCUGGCUUCAUACCACCAUCACUAGGAAACCUUUCACGUUUGAAUAGUUUUUUUGCAAGUAUUGGCAACUUAGAGGGGCCAAUUCCGACAAGCCUGGGGGAGUUGAAAAAUCUCUAUGCACUUGAUUUGUCAAUGAAUUACCAUCUAAACGGUUCAAUACCGAGAGAGAUUUUCAAAUUACACGAUCUUUCUUAUAUUUUGGACUUGUCUUACAAUUCCCUUUCUGGACCUCUUCCUAAUGAAGUUGGUAGUUUAUCAAAUCUCAACCAACUAGCUCUAUCAGGAAACCAGUUGUCCGGCAAGAUACCCGACAGUCUUCAGAAUUGCAUAGUAUUGGAACUGCUAUCAUUAGACAACAAUUCAUUUGAAGGAAGCAUACCUCAAUCACUGAAAAAUAUAAAGGGGCUCAGGGGAUUGAACCUGACCAUGAAUAAAUUAUCUGGUAAUAUUCCUGAUGCCCUUGGUAGCAUCGGAAAUCUGCAAGAGCUGUACCUAGCACACAACAACUUGUCAGGGUCAAUCCCAGAAAUUCUACGGAAUUUGAAAUCAUUGUUGAAACUGGAUGUAUCCUUCAACAAUUUGCAAGGUGAGGUACCAAAUGAAGGUGUUUUCAGAAACAUCACUUACUUAGAAGUUGCUGGGAAUAUCAAAUUGUGUGGUGGUACACCUCAACUUCAUUUGGCUCCAUGCUCCACCAGAAAGAACAAAAAAAAGAUGCCAAAGAAUCUUGUAAUUUAUGUAGUGGCAGCUGGAGCAAUCUUGUUCUCACUUUCGAUUGUUCUUCUUGUUUGGAUACUUUGCAAGAAGCUCAAACCAAGCAAAAAAACAUUAGCACAAAAUUCAGCUGAUGACCAUUACAAGAGAAUACCCUAUCAUGCAUUGUUGAGAGGAACUAACGAGUUUGCGGAAGCCAACUUGCUUGGCAGAGGAAGUUAUGGUGCGGUCUAUAAGUGUGUUUUGGACUUUGAAAAAAGAACAUUGGCGGUCAAGGUGUUCAAUCUUGGUGAAUCCAGGUAUUCCAAGAGUUUUGAGGCUGAGUGUGAGUCCAUGAGAAGAAUACGACACAGGUGCCUCAUUAAGAUCAUUACUUCUUGUUCGAGCCUCAACCACCAAGGUCAAGAGUUUAAGGCAUUGGUUUUUGAGUUUAUGCCCAAUGGUAACUUGGAUGGCUGGCUUCAUCCAAAACCUCAAGAGCCCAGUACAGACAACACUCUCAGCCUUGCCCAGAGGCUUGAUAUUGCUGUCAAUAUUGUAGACGCGGUAGAAUAUCUGCACAACUACUGUCAACCACUGGUGAUCCAUUGUGAUCUUAAGCCAAGCAACAUUCUUCUUGCUGAAGACAUGAGCGCACGAGUUGGAGACUUUGGCAUAUCAAGGAUCCUUAAAGAAAAUACAAGUGAGGGGAUGCAAACUUCAUACAGCUCAACUGGAAUCAGAGGUUCCAUAGGCUAUGUUGCACCAGAGUAUGGAGAAGGCUCUGCAGUCUCAACCGCUGGUGAUAUUUAUAGUCUUGGCAUAUUGCUGCUUGAGAUGUUUACGGGAAGGAGCCCAACAGAAGGCAUGUUCAGAGAUUCAUUGGAUCUGCAUAAGUUUGCUGAGGACGCUCUUCCAGAUAGAACCUUGGAGAUAGCUGACCCCACAAUGUGGUUGCACAGCGGACAACAGAAUAACAAUACAAGUAUUAGAAUCCAGGAGUUAUUGGUUUCGGUCUUGAGGCUUGGCAUAUCCUGCUCAAAGCAACAUCCUCGACACCGAGCACGGACGAAAGAUGCAACAGGGGAGAUGCACGCAAUCAGAGAUGCGUACCUCAAGUUCAUAGGGGAGCAUGAAGCAGAACGAGAAGCCUCGACUCGGGAAAUCAAGAAAGGUGUUGCAUAA